This 253-nucleotide ribosomal RNA is filed under the name uncultured bacterium. RNAcentral's name for it is "partial 16S ribosomal RNA". It matches the Rfam family "Bacterial small subunit ribosomal RNA", at positions 524 to 776 of the family's 1533-position model. The record is from RNAcentral.
UACGUAGGGUGCAGGCGUUAAUCGGAAUUACUGGGCGUAAAGCGUGCGCAGGCGGUUUGCUAAGACAGGUGUGAAAUCCCCGGGCUUAACCUGGGAACUGCGCUUGUAACUGGCAAGCUAGAGUGUGGCAGAGGGGGGUGGAAUUCCAGGUGUAGCAGUGAAAUGCGUAGAGAUCUGGGGGAACACCGAUGGCGAAGGCAGCCCCCUGGGCUAACACUGACGCUCAUGCACGAAAGCGUGGGGAGCAAACAGG